AUUAGCUCAGUUCGGUAGAGCGCCAGACUUUUAAUCUGGUGGCCGUGGGUUCGAGCCCCACAU
This 63-nucleotide transfer RNA is filed under the name Rhodella violacea. It matches the Rfam family "tRNA", at positions 6 to 65 of the family's 71-position model. From Rfam's summary of the family: Transfer RNA (tRNA) molecules are approximately 80 nucleotides in length. Their secondary structure includes four short double-helical elements and three loops (D, anti-codon, and T loops). Further hydrogen bonds mediate the characteristic L-shaped molecular structure. tRNAs have two regions of fundamental functional importance: the anti-codon, which is responsible for specific mRNA codon recognition, and the 3' end, to which the tRNAs corresponding amino acid is attached (by aminoacyl-tRNA synthetases). tRNAs cope with the degeneracy of the genetic code in two manners: having more than one tRNA (with a specific anti-codon) for a particular amino acid; and 'wobble' base-pairing, i.e. permitting non-standard base-pairing at the 3rd anti-codon position. Lineage: Eukaryota; Rhodophyta; Rhodellophyceae; Rhodellales; Rhodellaceae. The record is from RNAcentral.